RNAcentral lists this transfer RNA (75 nucleotides) under Acidobacteriota bacterium. RNAcentral describes it as "Acidobacteria bacterium tRNA-Cys". It matches the Rfam family "tRNA". From Rfam's summary of the family: Transfer RNA (tRNA) molecules are approximately 80 nucleotides in length. The record is from RNAcentral. Lineage: Bacteria; Pseudomonadati; Acidobacteriota.
GGCGGCGUAGCCGAGUGGUUCAGGCAGGGGUCUGCAAAACCUCAUACGGCGGUUCGAUUCCGCCCGCCGCCUCUA